This 832-nucleotide long non-coding RNA is filed under the name Aquilegia coerulea. Its description in RNAcentral is "long non-coding RNA (ACOE_LNC001836)". The record is from RNAcentral. Lineage: Eukaryota; Viridiplantae; Streptophyta; Magnoliopsida; Ranunculales; Ranunculaceae.
AAGUACAAGAAAUAGAGGGGACCACCAUGUUGGUAGUGGACUGCAUACUUCAAACUCUAACAUAUCCAGAUCUAGGGCAAAUACAAGUCUUCUACAAAGUGGUAAGAGUUCAAAUUCAACCUCAAUUUCUACAUUUCUGAAUGUUCUGAAUAUAAGCAAGCUCUCACAGAUCCUCUCUUGAUGUUAUGCAGAAGUUGCUAACUGUCCACUUGAGAAGCAACUUGGGGAUUUAUUGGUUGAGAAAAAUUGUGAUGCAGGAAAAAGUAAGUUUAUAUAUGUUCAUCUUGUUUGUUCUAUGAAAUUGAAACUAUAUAUAUUCUCAUUUUUCAGUUUUUACAACUUAUUGAAUUCUCUAAAUUUCACGAGGAAUAGUUAUUUAUAUAAGUAAUUGAUUUUAACGGAUGUUGUUGGUGAUUCUGGAUUGAGGAAUAAUGUUAUUUUAGUAACAACUGAUAAUGGAGGACAAAGGGAAUAUGAUAUUGAUAAUGUUGGUGAUGACAAUGAGUAUGAAGUUCCUUUUUCUUUCAAAGUGAUGAUGAUGAUGAGUAUGAGGAGGAACAAUCUGAUGAUGUUGUUGUAGAUAGAGAUGAGGUUAUCAGUGAUAGAUUAGCUGAGAAAUAGAUUGACAGUGAUAGAAUAGCUGAGAAAGAGGUAGGUAGUGAUACAAGGGUUGAGGAAGAGCUUGUAAGUGAGAUCACAGAUUUAGCCGCUGACAUUUGUGCCAUUUCACUUGAUUGGGAUAGUGAAUUCAUAACGAAAACUUCAAGAAUUAAAGAACAAAACAACUGCAACAGUUUACUGGGUAUGGUAUGAACAAAACAAGAAUACAUCC